RNAcentral lists this transfer RNA (75 nucleotides) under Pyrobaculum arsenaticum. RNAcentral's name for it is "tRNA-Pro". It matches the Rfam family "tRNA". Rfam says of the family: Transfer RNA (tRNA) molecules are approximately 80 nucleotides in length. RNAcentral also lists the same sequence under 2 other names. Lineage: Archaea; Thermoproteati; Thermoproteota; Thermoprotei; Thermoproteales; Thermoproteaceae. The record is from RNAcentral.
GGGGCCGUAGUCUAGCCUGGCUAGGAUGCGUGGCUUGGGCCCACGUGACCCCGGGUUCAAAUCCCGGCGGCCCCA